GAUGAACGCUAGCGGCAGGCUUAAUACAUGCAAGUCGUGGGGCAGCGCAGGUAGCAAUACUGGGCGGCGACCGGCAAACGGGUGCGGAACACGUACACAACCUUCCGAGAAGUGGGAAUAGCCCAGAGAAAUUUGGAUUAAUACCCCGUAACAUAACGAUGGUGGCAUCACAUUGUUAUUAUAGCUUCGGCGCUUCUUGAUGGGUGUGCGGCUGAUUAGAUAGUUGGCGGGUAACGGCCCACCAAGUCUACGAUCAGUAGCUGAUGUGAGAGCAUGAU
Molecule: ribosomal RNA, 278 nt
Filed under: uncultured bacterium
Lineage: Bacteria
Description: partial 16S ribosomal RNA
Rfam family: Bacterial small subunit ribosomal RNA
Source: RNAcentral